Molecule: ribosomal RNA, 460 nt
Filed under: uncultured bacterium
Lineage: Bacteria
Description: partial 16S ribosomal RNA
Rfam family: Bacterial small subunit ribosomal RNA
Source: RNAcentral
CCUACGGGAGGCAGCAGUGAGGAAUAUUGGUCAAUGGACGAGAGUCUGAACCAGCCAAGUAGCGUGAAGGAUGACUGCCCUAUGGGUUGUAAACUUCUUUUAUAUGGGAAUAAAACGUUCCACGUGUGGGAUUUUGUAUGUACCAUAUGAAGAAGGAUCGGCUAACUCCGUGCCAGCAGCCGCGGUAAUACGGAGGAUCCGAGCGUUAUCCGGAUUUAUUGGGUUUAAAGGGAGCGUAGGUGGAGUGUUAAGUCAGUUGUGAAAGUUUGCGGCUCAACCGUAAAAUUGCAGUUGAAACUGGCAGUCUUGAGUACAGUAGAGGUGGGCGGAAGUCGUGGUGUAGCGGUGAAAUGCUUAGAUAUCACGAAGAACUCCGAUUGCGAAGGCAGUUCACUGGACUGCAACUGACACUGAGGCUCGAAAGUGUGGGUAUCAAACAGGAUUAGAUACCCGAGUAGUC